ACGACUCUCUUUGCAAAGUUCGGUGAGUUGAUGAAGAAGUUACGUUUCAAGAACGAAGAAAGUGAACGUAAGAAGGGACGUCUUCGGAGAGGGUUCUUCCCAGUUUACGUGGGGGAAGAGCGCAAGAAAUUUUGGGUGCCGGUUUCAAAAUCUCCAACGUUAAAGACUGUACUCAAUCACUACGCAGAGGAAUACAAUCCUUUGGAGCCCAUAUCGAUGCCUGGUAUCACCC
Molecule: long non-coding RNA, 232 nt
Filed under: Olea europaea (common olive)
Lineage: Eukaryota; Viridiplantae; Streptophyta; Magnoliopsida; Lamiales; Oleaceae
Description: long non-coding RNA (OEUR_LNC005326)
Source: RNAcentral